UACGGAGGGUCCAAGCGUUAUCCGGAAUCAUUGGGUUUAAAGGGUCCGUAGGCGGUUUUGUAAGUCAGUGGUGAAAGCCCAUCGCUCAACGGUGGAACGGCCAUUGAUACUGCAAGACUUGAAUUAUUGGGAAGUAACUAGAAUAUGUAGUGUAGCGGUGAAAUGCUUAGAGAUUACAUGGAAUACCAAUUGCGAAGGCAGGUUGCUAGCAAGAUAUUGACGCUGAUGGACGAAAGCGUGGGGAGCGAACAGG
This 253-nucleotide ribosomal RNA is filed under the name uncultured bacterium. RNAcentral describes it as "partial 16S ribosomal RNA". It matches the Rfam family "Bacterial small subunit ribosomal RNA", at positions 524 to 776 of the family's 1533-position model. The record is from RNAcentral.